This 346-nucleotide long non-coding RNA is filed under the name Homo sapiens (human). RNAcentral's name for it is "PTPRS antisense RNA 1 (PTPRS-AS1)". The record is from RNAcentral. Lineage: Eukaryota; Metazoa; Chordata; Mammalia; Primates; Hominidae.
GGGGCGGGGGUGGUGGUGGUGAGGCUUCAAGGUGCGGCUAUGGGGGGCUGCUUGUCCUCUCCUUUCCUGCUGAUUCUCCCGCAAUGGUAGCCCAAGCAUCCAUGCAAUUUGUGAGUCAGAAUGCUCAGAUGCUGUUCCAGGGAACAGACGGGCCGAGCUUAUAUCACAGAUCUAUCGUCGUCAUCAUCAUCACCGUCAUUAAAAAAAAAAAUCAGGCUAGGCUCUGUGGCUCAUGCCUGUAAUCCCAGCAUUUUGGGAGGCCAAGGCAGGUGGAUCCCCUGAGGUCAAGAAUUCCAGACCAACCUGGCCAACGUGGCAAAACCCCCUCUCUACUAAAAAUACAAAA